GAUGAACGCUGGCGGCGUGCCUAAUACAUGCCAGUCGAGCGAACAGACGAGGAGCUUGCUCCUCUGACGUUAGCGGCGGACGGGUGAGUAACACGUGGAUAACCUACCUAUAAGACUGGGAUAACUUCGGGAAACCGGCGCUAAUACCGGAUAAUAUAUUGAACCGCAUGGUUCAAUAGUGAAAGACGGUUUUGCUGUCACUUAUAGAUGGAUCCGCGCCGCAUUAGCUAGUUGGUAAGGUAACGGCUUACCAAGGCAACGAUGCGUAGCCGACCUGAGAGGGUGAUCGGCCACACUGGAACUGAGACACGGUCCAGACUCCUACGGGAGGCAGCAGUAGGGAAUCUUCCGCAAUGGGCGAAAGCCUGACGGAGCAACGCCGCGUGAGUGAUGAAGGUCUUCGGAUCGUAAAACUCUGUUAUUAGGGAAGAACAAAUGUGUAAGUAACUAUGCACGUCUUGACGGUACCUAAUCAGAAAGCCACGGCUAACUACGUG
RNAcentral lists this ribosomal RNA (497 nucleotides) under uncultured bacterium. RNAcentral describes it as "partial 16S ribosomal RNA". It matches the Rfam family "Bacterial small subunit ribosomal RNA", at positions 28 to 507 of the family's 1533-position model. The record is from RNAcentral.